UUGAAAGGGAAACGAUUGAAGUCAGUCGCACCGACGAGAAAUCAGCUCUUUGAGUGUGGACUUGUGGGCGUGCGUGAGCUUUACGGUCUCGCUGUUUGCAAUGUUUGUUCUUUUUGGGUGUACUUUUUCGUAUGGUAGGCCAACAUCAGUUUCGAAUACCAUAAAAUGACCGGCGGAAUGUAGCUUCGAUCUCGUAUUGAAGUGUUAUAGCCUCUGGUAGAUGUGGUGUUUGGGACUGAGGAUUGCAACGAAUAUCCUUUGGGCUAUCCGUCUGAUCUCUGAAAGUUGCUUAGGUGCCGAAAGCGUGCUUACUGUUAUUUAAGUUGACGGUCAAAAGGUUAGAACGUGAUUACAUUCGUUAAGGAUGUUGACGUA
RNAcentral lists this ribosomal RNA (375 nucleotides) under uncultured Glomeromycotina. RNAcentral's name for it is "LSU rRNA". Lineage: Eukaryota; Fungi; Glomeromycota. The record is from RNAcentral.